GCUAAAUUUUGUCCUCAAAUGUUCUCUUUUUGUCUGUUUGGAGGCCAAAUGGAUAUGUGUGUCCUCAAAUGUCUUCUUUUUGUCUGUUUGGAGGCCAAAUGGAUAUGUGUUCCUACAGUGUCCGUCCUCGUUACCAAUUCCUCUCCCCAAUUUUUUUUUUGUCUUUUCCCCUUUUCCCAUCUUCCUCCGCUCCCGAUCCUCUCCGUGCUCAUCCUGCUGCUGGUAUACCUCGCCAUGGAUCGGAUCAAAUCAAAGCCAACCCGCAUCAUUCCUAAUCCAUACUAGUACUCCAUCUUAGGAACUAACAUCAAGAAUCUGCCAUGCAUACUACCCUCCUCGAAGACUACCAGCUGCUACUUGCCUUGGCCUGCUGGUGCAUGCCAUGCCAGUGCCUGCGUCACUGUCCAUGCCGCCAUGCUGGCCUCGCCAUGGAGGAUGUUGAACCCGCUGGUUGUGCCCGUGCGCGGCGGCAUGUUUCUGCUGCUGCUAGAGCGGCCUGCUGCGCGUACAUCAUCGACCGGCUCCUGCGUCGAGGGCCCAAGCGGAGCAGGCGGCCGGCGUCUCUCUCGCGCUGAAGGAGGAGGCGCGGGAGCAGCUACGGCGGGCGGCAGCGGAGAAAGCCGCCGCGCACGAAACGCGGGCGGCACGCGGAUGCGGUAGCAGGCGCGGGUGAAGCUCGGCCAUCGCGGGGGGAGCUCGGUCGCCAGAGAGAAGAGAGGAGAAGAAGAAAAGUCGCGGGGCAGAGGAAGAGAAAGGAAACCCAAACUUGCCCCAAAUUUGGAGAGGGUUUGGGAAUUUGUCCGGACA
This 807-nucleotide long non-coding RNA is filed under the name Brachypodium distachyon (stiff brome). RNAcentral's name for it is "long non-coding RNA (BDIS_LNC001588)". The record is from RNAcentral. Lineage: Eukaryota; Viridiplantae; Streptophyta; Magnoliopsida; Poales; Poaceae.